GCUUUACACAUGCAGUCGAGCGGAAGGCCCUUCGGGGUACUCGAGCGGCGAACGGGUGAGUAACACGUGAGUAACCUGCCCCAGACUUUGGGAUAACCCUCGGAAACGGGGGCUAAUACCGAAUAUGACAUGUCACCGCAUGGUGUGCUUGUGGAAAGUUUUUCGGUUUGGGAUGGACUCGCGGCCUAUCAGCUUGUUGGUGGGGUAAUGGCCUACCAAGGCGACGACGGGUAGCCGGCCUGAGAGGGCGACCGGCCACACUGGGACUGAGACACGGCCCAGACUCCUACGGGAGGCAGCAGUGGGGAAUAUUGCACAAUGGGCGGAAGCCUGAUGCAGCGACGCCGCGUGAGGGAUGACGGCCUUCGGGUUGUAAACCUCUUUCAGCAGGGACGAAGCGCAAGUGACGGUACCUGCAGAAGAAGCGCCGGCCAACUACGUGCCAGCAGCCGCGGUAAGACGUAGGGCGCGAGCGUUGUCCGGAUUUAUUGGGCGUAAAGAGCUCGUAGGCGGCUUGUCGCGUCGAAUGUGAAAUCUCGGGGCUCAACUCCGAGCUUGCAUUCGAUACGGGCAGGCUAGAGUUCGGUAGGGGAGACUGGAAUUCCUGGUGUAGCGGUGAAAUGCGCAGAUAUCAGGAGGAACACCGGUGGCGAAGGCGGGUCUCUGGGCCGAUACUGACGCUGAGGAGCGAAAGCGUGGGGAGCGAACAGGAUUAGAUACCCUGGUAGUCCACGCUGUAAACGUUGGGCGCUAGGUGUGGGGACCCUCUCCGGGUUUCUGCGCCGCAGCUAACGCAUUAAGCGCCCCG
This 808-nucleotide ribosomal RNA is filed under the name Actinoplanes sp. RNAcentral's name for it is "bacterial SSU rRNA". It matches the Rfam family "Bacterial small subunit ribosomal RNA", at positions 46 to 871 of the family's 1533-position model. The record is from RNAcentral. Lineage: Bacteria; Bacillati; Actinomycetota; Actinomycetes; Micromonosporales; Micromonosporaceae.